GAUCGGGCUCUAUUCAGAGGUUAUCUAAGUGAAUGAAGUCAGCCAUUGUCAAGGCGACAACAGUGAGUGAACAAAAAGGCACAAGAGCGCCAGCUCGGCGGGCCGCACCCUCCAUAGAGGAGCAGCACCGAGGCAUACGAAUGGAGGAGGAGGCCCGUGGGAUGAAUCUCUCGAAGUGAAAGUCAGCUGCUAUUUUAAAACGCAAGGAUGGACGAGGACGGUGGCGAGCCAAAGACUUAUGUGUCCACAGUGCGCCUGCUGCUGCGGGGGCGCACACGCAGCAAAGCCGAGCCGCUCGCCGAGGCGACGGCGAUGAGAAACGCCGCGGGGUUCUCACGUCCAACAGGUGAGAAGGCUCAUCAGAGUCCAUCAAAUUUCAUAAAUGGUGUCACCGGAGAUGACACAACACUGAGCUGCGAGAAUUCAUCUGGAAGUCACGUUACAG
Long non-coding RNA from Hippocampus zosterae (dwarf seahorse), 445 nucleotides. RefSeq lists it as uncharacterized. Lineage: Eukaryota; Metazoa; Chordata; Actinopteri; Syngnathiformes; Syngnathidae. The record is from RefSeq and is a predicted model, not a curated record. The transcript is spliced from 3 exons.